This 693-nucleotide ribosomal RNA is filed under the name Nosema granulosis. Its description in RNAcentral is "partial small subunit ribosomal RNA". It matches the Rfam family "Microsporidia small subunit ribosomal RNA", at positions 78 to 814 of the family's 1311-position model. Lineage: Eukaryota; Fungi; Microsporidia; Nosematidae. The record is from RNAcentral.
GACGAACAGCUCAGUAACUCUUAUUUUAUUUGAUGUAUUAGGAUUAUAACUAUGUUAAAUUAUAGAUAACAAUAAUACAAUAAGAAUAAGAUCUAUCAGUUAGUUGUUAAGGUAAUGGCUUAACAAGACUAUGACGGAUAACGGUAUUACUUUGUAAUAUUCCGGAGAAGGAGCCUGAGAGAUUGCUACUAAGUCUAAGGAUUGCAGCAGGGGCGAAACUUGACCUAUGAUAUGAUAUUGAGGCAGUUAUGAGUAGUAUUUUUAAUUAUUGUAGUAUUGUAAGUAUAUACUACAAGAUAAAUCGGAGGGCAAAUCGAGUGCCAGCAGCCGCGGUAAUACUUGUUCCGAUAGUGUGUAUGAUGAUUGAUGCAGUUAAAAAGUCUGUAGUUUAUUAUUAAUAAGCAUUGUGAGGUAUAUUGUAUGGUUAGGAGAGAGAUGAAAUGUGAUAACCCUAACUGGAUGAACAGAAGCGAAAGCUAUAUACUUAAAUGUUUUAUUAGAACAAGGACGUAAGCUAGAGGAUCGAAGAUGAUUAGAUACCAUUGUAGUUCUAGCAGUAAACUAUGUUAAAUCAUAGAUACAUUAUUAAUAUGUAUUUAUGUAAAGAAAUUAAGAUUAUAUUGACUCUGGGGAUAGUAUGAUCGCAAGAUUGAAAAUUAAAGAAAUUGACGGAAGAAUACCACAAGGAGUGGA